This is a long non-coding RNA of Humulus lupulus (European hop), 342 nucleotides long. RefSeq lists it as uncharacterized. The record is from RefSeq and is a predicted model, not a curated record. Lineage: Eukaryota; Viridiplantae; Streptophyta; Magnoliopsida; Rosales; Cannabaceae. The transcript is spliced from 3 exons.
UUCCCUUCCGUUCUCACAUAUUGUGAAAUACUGAAGCUCUCACCAGAUCAGAUCGAAGUGACCAAGCACCGUCUCUCUCUCCGGCGCAGGACGACUCUCAUCUCGAUCACACACGGACACGAGUUUUGAUCAAAAGAAGAAUGGAAGAUUCAGAUUAGAUGAUUUCAUAUCUCUUUGUAUAUUUUUGCAGUCAGCUCGUAAUAUGUUUGAUUCAUUUGAUACUGCUAAGCAGGGCCGGGUGACUCUUGAUCUCAACCAAUUUGUAUAUUGCAGUGAGUAUUUUUUUUUUAAUCUUUUUUAACAGUAUAGUCCAAAUAACACAUGGGAUUUUAUUGCUUAUUU